RNAcentral lists this ribosomal RNA (497 nucleotides) under uncultured bacterium. Its description in RNAcentral is "partial 16S ribosomal RNA". It matches the Rfam family "Bacterial small subunit ribosomal RNA", at positions 28 to 507 of the family's 1533-position model. The record is from RNAcentral.
GAUGAACGCUGGCGGCGUGCCUAAUACAUGCAAGUCGAGCGAACAGACGAGGAGCUUGCUCCUCUGACGUUAGCGGCGGACGGGUGAGUAACACGUGGAUAACCUACCUAUAAGACUGGGAUAACUUCGGGAAACCGGAGCUAAUACCGGAUAAUAUAUUGAACCGCAUGGUUCAAUAGUGAAAGACGGUUUUGCUGCCACUUAUAGAUGGAUCCGCGCCGCACUAGCUAGUUGGUAAGGUAACGGCUUACCAAGGCAACGAUGCGUAGCCGACCUGAGAGGGUGAUCGGCCACACUGGAACUGAGACACGGUCCAGACUCCUACGGGAGGCAGCAGUAGGGAAUCUUCCGCAAUGGGCGAAAGCCUGACGGAGCAACGCCGCGUGAGUGAUGAAGGUCUUCGGAUCGUAAAACUCUGUUAUUAGGGAAGAACAAAUGUGUAAGUAACUAUGCACGUCUUGACGGUACCUAAUCAGAAAGCCACGGCUAACUACGUG